AUUGAACGCUAGCGGGAUGCUUUACACAUGCAAGUCGAACGGCAGCGCGGACUUCGGUCUGGCGGCGAGUGGCGAACGGGUGGGUAAUGUAUCGGAACGUGCCCAGUAGCGGGGGGUAACUAAGCGGAAACGUAGCUAAUAACGCAUAAGCCCUACGGGGGAAAGGAGGGGAUCGUAAGACCUUGCACUAUUGGAGCGGACGAUAUCGGAUUAGGUAGUUGGUGAGGUAACGGCUCACCAAGGCGACGAUCCGUAGCUGGUUUGAGAGGACGACCAGCCACACUGGGACUGAGACACGGCCCAGACUCCUACGGGAGGCAGCAGUGGGGAAUUUUGGACAAAGGGGGCAACCCUGAUCCAGCCAUCCCGCGUGUGCGAUGAAGGCCUUCGGGUUGUAAAGCACUUUUGGCAGGAAAGAAACGUCGCGGGCUAAUACCCCGUGGAACUGACGGUACCUGCAGAAUAAGCACCGGCUAACUACGUG
Molecule: ribosomal RNA, 484 nt
Filed under: uncultured bacterium
Lineage: Bacteria
Description: partial 16S ribosomal RNA
Rfam family: Bacterial small subunit ribosomal RNA
Source: RNAcentral